AUAUAUAUAUACCUCUAAAUCUUUCAUUAUGUAGAAAACCAAUUUAAAUCCCUUCAAACAAAAAGAAAACCUAGUCGAACUUGAUUCCAUGGGAAACCUCUUGGGUAAAAGUAAAAAGCGUAAUCCUCAAAAUUCUAGGAGUGAUAAAGGAGGAAGAAUAUUGUCCAACAUUCCAGUUCAUGAACCUAUCCCAUUACCACUUACACAACAAGUUGCUUCAAUGUCUAAGAAAUCAAGUUUUGGGACACAUAUAAUUCUGGACAAAGUUCAAAUACCAAGAAACCUCUCAUGAAGUAUGCUUUGAUUCAAGAUAACUUCACAACUCUUGAACAGGUUACUGCAGCCUUGAGGAAAGAAGGUUUAGAGUCAUCAAAUCUCAUCCUUGGAAUUGAUUUUACAAAGAGUAAUGAAUGGACUGGCCAAGUCUCAUUCAACAAGAAAAGCCUGCAUGCAAUUGGAGAUACACCAAACCCAUAUGAGAAGGCCAUAUCAAUUGUUGGCAAGACUUUAGCUCCCUUUGAUGAAGACAACUUGAUUCCAUGCUUUGGCUUUGGUGAUGCUACCACACAUGAUAAAGAAGUAUUCAGCUUUCAUAGUGAUCAUUCACCUUGCCAUGGAUUUGAAGAAGUUUUGGCUUGCUACAAAAACGUUGUUCCAAACUUGAAACUCUCAGGACCGACUUCUUAUGCACCGGUGAUUGAGGCUGCAAUAGACAUAGUCGAGAAAAGUCAUGGCCAAUUCCAUGUUUUGGUUAUCAUCGCAGAUGGUCAGGUUACAAGAAGUGUAGACUAUGAUGAUAAUGAACUCAGUCCUCAAGAAGAGAAAACUAUCAAAGCAAUUGCUGAUGCAAGUAAAUAUCCACUUGCUAUAGUUUUGGUCGGAGUUGGUGAUGGACCUUGGGCAGACAUGGAAAAGUUUGAUGACACCACACGCGAUUUUGACAAUUUUCAGUUUGUAAAUUUCACGAAAAUCAUGUCGAAAAACACAAGCGAAACUGAAAAGGAAGCAGCUUUUGCUUUGGCUGCUCUGAUGGAGAUCCCCUUCCAAUACAAAGCAUGUGUCGAAUUUAAAAAACUUGGACGUGUAACUGGCAGAGCGAAGAGAAUAGUUCCAAAACCAUCUCCUGUUCCUUAUUCUCGGCCGGUACCAAGCAAAUCGCCGGCAUCAACAACAGAUGAUCAAAAUCAAUCUACGCAUCGCAUCGGAUCGGAUCUGAAUCUCCAUGGCAAACGAACAUGAACAUGGAAUUCUGGGGUUUGUGGAGGAAGUAAAAUCUGUGUUUCAUGGUAAGAGGGAAGAGUAUGAAGAGUUUAUAAAAGACAUAGAUGCUUUUAAGACCCUGAUGAAUGAUCAUCGAAUCACCAGACUUCCAGUUCAAAAUUUCAAAGGAAGGAUGAAAAAGUUACUUAAAGGGCAUAAUCGUUUAAUUUUUGGAUUCAACGCCUACAUGAAGGAUCGUCGUAUCACACUUCCAAUUCGACAACCAGUACGAGGAGGUCAUAGUAAUGGACAAAAAAAGAAGAAGGUAGAAGAGAACUGUCAACUUCCUUGGGAUUUGCUUGACAUCAUUUUGAGGAAUCUAGAUUUUGAUGACCUCUUUCAAUUUGGUAGUGUAUGCAAAAAUUGGCGAGAAUUUCAUAAAAUUUAUUGGAGGAAUUUCAUGGCAUCCGAAGAACCAUUACUUAUCCAAUGGUGCGCUGUUAAGAGAUCUCUCAACUUCUUCAGCUUACCUCACGAUAAAGUUUAUCACUCAAAGAUGAUCAAUAACUACUUCCGAUUUGUCUAUCAUGGGUCUUCUAGCGGAUAUUUCAUCAUGACACGAAAAGAUAAUUCAUUUAUACUUAUUAAUCCAUUUACAAGAAGAAAGAUGCUAAUCAAUAACUCAGUCUUCCAAGUUAAUUUCAGUUAUUUUUCCUGCAAAGUCUUGCUUGCUUUUUCCAAAGGCUCAAAGGAAUUUGUCUUGGUGGUUUCAUGUAAAAAUUCUGAUAAUUUGCAUGUCUAUCAAUCUCGAAAUCUUUGUUGGACUGCUUAUUCGACACCACAGAAGGUUGUUGACUUUGCUGUUUUAAAUUCUAUCAUAUAUGUUGUCACUGACAAGGCCAGCAUAGGGAUACUCAGCUUGAAAUAUGCAAAUAUAAAUUUUUUAGAACUGAAGAGUACUCCUGGUGUAACUUCUAGUCGUUAUUGGUCACACGUAGGGUUGGUUAGUUGUGAUGGAUAUCUUUUAGUGCUUAAUUUUAUGUCAAAGGUAACGUAUAACGUGUACAAGAUAGACUUCUCUACCAUGGAUUAUGUCAAGUUGGAAUCUUUGGCUGACAUUGCAAUAUUUUGUGUUCCGCCGAAAAGGUAUUAUGCACUGAGCAACCCGCACAUGUGGGGUUAUGAGAACAAUUCUAUCUAUGCCAUCGAUGUUCCAUGUGGCAAAUACACGGUGUAUAAAGGAGAUAACAAAAAAAUGCCAGAAUUCAUUAUUCCUGGUUUUAAACGUAGUGAACUUCCACAUCCUAUUUAUUGCCGCUCAAAACAACGUUACAUAGAUUGGUGUUUUAGACAUCUACAAUAUGAGGUAGAUUAUACUCUCGUUGAGUAGCAUGCUUAUUACCCUACACUUUGGGUUGGACCUUGUUCUAUUUGUUUUUCUUUUGAUUUUCGAAUAAAUGGACAUGAUUUAAUGGUUUACGGUGUUAUUAUUGGACAAGUUUUGAGAUAGUAUAGAGGAUUUAAUGUACUUUUUCCUAGCUUGUAGUUGUAGCAUUUCUUGUCGUGGAUUGUGGCACAUUGAGGAGAA
RNA transcript from Medicago truncatula (barrel medic), 2788 nucleotides. It is a transcript of the gene named E3 ubiquitin-protein ligase RGLG4, with no coding region annotated. The transcript has 11 exons. Lineage: Eukaryota; Viridiplantae; Streptophyta; Magnoliopsida; Fabales; Fabaceae. The record is from RefSeq and is a predicted model, not a curated record.